RNAcentral lists this ribosomal RNA (774 nucleotides) under uncultured Neocallimastigales. RNAcentral's name for it is "partial large subunit ribosomal RNA". It matches the Rfam family "Eukaryotic large subunit ribosomal RNA", at positions 23 to 639 of the family's 3401-position model. The record is from RNAcentral. Lineage: Eukaryota; Fungi; Neocallimastigomycota; Neocallimastigomycetes; Neocallimastigales.
AGAGAGAGACAUGCGCGCAUAUCAAUAAGCGGAGGAAAAGAAACUAACUAGGAUUCCCCUAGUAACGGCGAGUGAAGCGGGAAGAGCUCAAAUUUGAAAUCUUAAAGGUUCUCCCUUGACAAAUUGUAGUUUAAAGAAGUGUUUUCUGUUGGAGUUUUGGUAAAAGUUCUUUGGAAUAGGACAUCAUAGAGGGUGAGAAUCCCGUAUUUGACCAUUAUUUCCAGCUUUGUGAUACACUUUCAAAGAGUCGGAUUGUUUGGGAAUGCAGUCCAAAAUGGGUGGCAAAUUUCAUCUAAAGCUAAAUAUUGGCGAGAGACCGAUAGCGAACAAGUACCGUGAGGGAAAGAUGAAAAGAACUUUGAAAAGAGAGUUAAACAGUACGUGAAAUCGUCAAAAGGGAAGCGUUUGACACCAGUGUUGUUUUCUCGAAAAUCAAUUAAAAAAGGCAGGAUUUUGUGUUGUAUUGACUUUAUCAGCUUUCUGCACUCUUUUCUUGUCUUUUUUAAUGCACUUUUCGUUUAACAAGUCAACAUCAAUUUCUUUUGUUGUAAAAGGGUCAUUGGAAGGUGGCUUUCUUUUCGGAGAAAGUGUUUAUAGCCUUUGGCCUCUGCAAUCGGAGAGAUUGAGGUCUGCAGCGUAGAUCCUUCGGGGUUAGAUACAUUUGUGCUAAGUUAUAGCCUUUCAUAGACAACUUGUUGACUAUGAUCAGUCAUGUAGCUUACUCGCUUAUGCUAUUUUACCUACGCUUAGGAUGUUGAUGUGAUACUGCGAGCA